RNAcentral lists this unclassified non-coding RNA (433 nucleotides) under uncultured Russula. RNAcentral describes it as "sequence contains ITS2". The stretch from base 1 to 154 matches the Rfam family "5.8S ribosomal RNA". The record is from RNAcentral. Lineage: Eukaryota; Fungi; Basidiomycota; Agaricomycetes; Russulales; Russulaceae.
AACUUUUAGCAAUGGAUCUCUUGGCUCUCGCAUCGAUGAAUAACGCAGCGAAAUGCGAUACGUAAUGUGAAUUGCAGAAUUCAGUGAAUCAUCGAAUCUUUGAACGCACCUUGCGCCCCUUGGAAUUCCGAGGGGCACACCCGUUUGAGUGUCGUGAACAUCCUUCAACCUUUCUUGGUUUCUUAACCGGGGAAGGCUUGGACUUUGGGGGUCUUUCAUUGCUGGCCUCUUUGAAGCCAGCUCCUCCUAAAUGGAUUAGUGUGGUCUGCUUUGCCGAUCCUUGACGUGAUAAGAUGUUUCUACGUCUUGGGUUUCGCACUGUCGCUUUAGACCCCGCUUCUAACCGUCUUGCAUUCAAGACAGAGUUUUAAACCUUGACCUCAAAUCGGGUGAGACUACCCGCUGAACUUAAGCAUAUCAAUAAGCGGAGGCU